This is a non-coding RNA of Danio rerio (zebrafish), 82 nucleotides long. Lineage: Eukaryota; Metazoa; Chordata; Actinopteri; Cypriniformes; Danionidae. The record is from Rfam.
GGUAGCGUGGCCGAGGGGUCUAAGGCGCUGGAUUUAGGCUCCAGUCUCUUCGGGGGCAUGGGUUUGAAUCCCACCGGACUCA